Non-coding RNA from Arachis ipaensis, 1595 nucleotides. Lineage: Eukaryota; Viridiplantae; Streptophyta; Magnoliopsida; Fabales; Fabaceae. The record is from RefSeq and is a predicted model, not a curated record.
CGUCCGAUUUUGAUAAAAACCGAAGAACCGGCGGUUUUUGUAUAACCGGCCGGUUUGGAAAACCUUUUUUUUUUUUUUCGUUUUCAAAACGAAUGUCUCUCACUCUCUCGUAUACCCCCUUGCCCCCUUCCCCCUAACCCUAAAUCCCCAAAAGCCAAAACAGCAGUCCUUCAAGUCUUCCUCAGCUUCUCAUCACACCAUACAUAGUUGAUCACCACACCUCACCUCACCUCACCGUCGGCCUGUCGUCUUCUUUCUCCCCUCGUCACACCAACACUCUUCCUCGCAGUCUCUCUCAGUCUCGAAGACUCUCUUCCUCUGCUUCAUCUCGCUGGCUUCACAGUGUGUCCGAGUACGUCGAGUUCGUGGCUUCGCGUCUCUCGUCGUCGUCGUCGCGUCUCCUGCGUCACUGCUGCGGUGCCACCUCUCCGUCGCUGCUGCAGUGCUGCCUCUCCGUCGCUAGAAUCUGCCUCAUCCAGGUUGGUCUCCAAACUAUGAAAUCUGUUCUCUGUUUUUUUUAGUUAUUUAGUUGGAUUUUAAUUUGAUUAAGGGAGUGAAUAACUGAUAGGUUAAUGGCAGAUUGUUGAUUAUGUAUAUAUUGUUGAGUUAUAACUUGUUAUAUUGUUGAACUAGUUGAUGGCAGAUUGUUAGAUUUUUUUUUUUUUUUCUGAUUCGUAGUGGUUAUGUUUGUUUUUAUUGAUGUAACAUUGCUGUGAAUUUAUAUUGCUGGAUAUGAAAAUAUGGAAAUAUGGAAAUAUGGAUUAUGUAACAUUGUUUUUGUAAUACCUAUUUUAUACCAUUGCUCUCCUAUAUUGUUUUAGAAUGUCUUCAGCCAAUAUACCAUCAGAAACACCAUCCUCCACGGUUCCUUGCUCCGUCGGCGCAUCCUCUCCGUCCACUGCCUCCUCUCUCGAAUUGCUGGAUUUUUUAUUAAUUUUUGAUUAUGCCAUUAUGCUUGUUUGCUUUAGAAAAAGGAUUGCUGGAUUUUCUAGCAAUUUUUGUCGGAGUUAUUUGUUGUUGAACUAUUAUGCCAUUGUGCAUCUGUUUAGUGUAGUGACUCUGAGUCUUUUUGUCGAAUUAUUUGCUGUUGAACUACUAUGGUGUUGCUUUUAAAUGUGUGUUGAAUUAAAUGGUUGUUUUCAAGUUGAAUGCAACCAUUUUACUUGUGAGUAAAGUGCUUGUUAUCCAUUCAUCAAUUUCUCAUGGUUGUUUGUCUUUGUUAGGUACCAAUCUUGCUCAUAAUUUAAAUCAUUCGGCAGAUUUAGGCUUGAAAACAUGUUGACAAAACUGGUUUUAUGUCCAAAACAGAUUUUAGUGAAUGCAUAUAUGGUUGCUUUUGUCUUGUCUAACAAGAACCUUUUGAAUUGAACUGUUGGAAAUAGGUUAUGCUCCCAACAUUGAACAAUUGAUGUAAAUUUGUAUUUUGUAAUAGCUGUUGUUUUAUACCUUUGCUAUUAUAUUUUCUAGUUACGUGAAACCGAUUUUACCGGUUCAACCAGUAAUUUAUCGGUUGAACCAGUAAACCAAUGAACCAGUAACCUGAUCGGUUUGAUCACCGGUUCGGUUCUUACAACUAUGAAUAUGACUAGCUUUAG